ACCUGACGUCUCCCCACCCGGGCUGAGCUCGCCCCUCCCGCCCCCAGCCGAGCUUCUGGAAAUCCAGUAGCCUCCCCCUGCCUCCCGGAGCUCCCGGCUGGCUGCCACCCCGAGCGAACGCACCGCGUGCACACGUCCACACGCCAGCAGCACAGGCACGAGAGCGGCUGGGUGCGGAAAGGAGGCGCACCGCGCGCCCAGCCGACACCCGCGCGGACCCCGGCCGCGGCCCCCCGACGCCCCUCGGUGCCCGAGCCCCCAGCCCGCGAGUCUCACCAGAGAGCCGGUAACUUUCCAGGUCAGUUUUCACUGCAAGCUCUCUCCCACCUCGCCUUCACUCCCAGAGCGCAAACAGGCGCACGUACCCUGGACGUGCUCUCCUCUGUCACACCGGUGCCCUCCUAGAAGACACGUGACCCUGGAGCAGCUUGGCGACGCGCUCUUCCCGGACUCUGGAGCCAUAACUUGCAUCGAGUUUGCCAGUUCACAUGAUGCUGGGGGCAGUGGUUUGAACCGAGUUUCAAGGGACCUUCGGAAUCUGUAGGUCUUCUGGCAGGGAGCUUUCUUGAUCACCCAAGUUGGUAAUCCUCUCCCCGUCGCCUUUUGAUUACAUGUUUUUCCCUGA
This is a long non-coding RNA of Balaenoptera ricei (Rice's whale), 625 nucleotides long. RefSeq lists it as uncharacterized. The record is from RefSeq and is a predicted model, not a curated record. NCBI's taxonomy places the organism in Eukaryota, Metazoa, Chordata, Mammalia, Artiodactyla, Balaenopteridae. The transcript is spliced from 2 exons.